RNAcentral lists this ribosomal RNA (492 nucleotides) under uncultured bacterium. RNAcentral describes it as "partial 16S ribosomal RNA". It matches the Rfam family "Bacterial small subunit ribosomal RNA", at positions 29 to 507 of the family's 1533-position model. The record is from RNAcentral.
AGUGAACGCUGGCGGUAGGCCUAGCACAUGCAAGUCGAACGGCAGCACAGUAAGAGCUUGCUCUUACGGGUGGCGAGUGGCGGACGGGUGAGGAAUACAUCGGAAUCUACUUUUUCGUGGGGGAUAACGUAGGGAAACUUACGCUAAUACCGCAUACGACCUACGGGUGAAAGCAGGGGAUCUUCGGACCUUGCGCGAUUGAAUGAGCCGAUGUCGGAUUAGCUAGUUGGCGGGGUAAAGGCCCACCAAGGCGACGAUCCGUAGCUGGUCUGAGAGGAUGAUCGGCCACACUGGAACUGAGACACGGUCCAGGCUCCUACGGGAGGCAGCAGUGGGGAAUAUUGGACAAUGGGCGCAAGCCUGAUCCAGCCAUACCGCGUGGGUGAAGAAGGCCUUCGGGUUGUAAAGCCCUUUUGUUGGGAAAGAAAAGCAGCAGGUUAAUACCCCGCUGUUCUGACGGUACCCAAAGAAUAAGCACCGGCUAACUUCGUG